RNAcentral lists this ribosomal RNA (451 nucleotides) under uncultured bacterium. Its description in RNAcentral is "partial 16S ribosomal RNA". It matches the Rfam family "Bacterial small subunit ribosomal RNA", at positions 354 to 796 of the family's 1533-position model. The record is from RNAcentral.
GUGGGGAAUAUUGCGCAAUGGGGGAAACCCUGACGCAGCGACGCCGUGUGAGGGAAGAAGGCUCUCGGGUCGUAAACCUCUGUCAGAAAGGAAGAACCUCUCAUAUCCGAACAGGAUGUGGGACUGACGGUACUUUCAAAGGAAGCACCGGCUAACUCCGUGCCAGCAGCCGCGGUAAUACGGAGGGUGCAAGCGUUAAUCGGAAUCACUGGGCGUAAAGCGCGCGUAGGCCGCUUUGUAAGUCGGACGUGAAAGCCCUCGGCUCAACCGGGGGACUGCGUUCGAUACUGCGAGGCUUGAGUCCUGGAGAGGGUGGCGGAAUUCCGGGUGUAGGAGUGAAAUCCGUAGAUAUCCGGAGGAACACCGGUGGCGAAGGCGGCCACCUGGACAGGUACUGACGCUGAGGCGCGAAAGCGCGGGGAGCAAACAGGAUUAGAAACCCCAGUAGUCC